RNAcentral lists this ribosomal RNA (414 nucleotides) under uncultured bacterium. Its description in RNAcentral is "bacterial SSU rRNA". It matches the Rfam family "Bacterial small subunit ribosomal RNA", at positions 505 to 918 of the family's 1533-position model. The record is from RNAcentral.
GUGCCAGCAGCCGCGGUAAUACGGAGGGUGCAAGCGUUAAUCGGAAUUACUGGGCGUAAAGCGCGCGUAGGUGGCUUGAUAAGCCGGUUGUGAAAGCCCCGGGCUCAACCUGGGAACUGCAUCCGGAACUGUCAGGCUAGAGUGCAGGAGAGGAAGGUAGAAUUCCCGGUGUAGCGGUGAAAUGCGUAGAGAUCGGGAGGAAUACCAGUGGCGAAGGCGGCCUUCUGGACUGACACUGACACUGAGGUGCGAAAGCGUGGGUAGCAAACAGGAUUAGAUACCCUGGUAGUCCACGCCGUAAACGAUGUCGACUAGCCGUUGGGAGCCUCGAGUUCUUAGUGGCGCAGUUAACGCAAUAAGUCGACCGCCUGGGGAGUACGGCCGCAAGGUUAAAACUCAAAGGAAUUGACGGGG